Molecule: ribosomal RNA, 519 nt
Filed under: uncultured eukaryote
Lineage: Eukaryota
Description: SSU rRNA
Rfam family: Eukaryotic small subunit ribosomal RNA
Source: RNAcentral
AGGGCACCACCAGGAGUGGAGCCUGCGGCUUAAUUUGACUCAACACGGGAAAACUCACCCGGCCCGGACACUGGAAGGAUUGACAGAUUGAGAGCUCUUUCUUGAUUCAGUGGGUGGUGGUGCAUGGCCGUUCUUAGUUGGUGGAGUGAUUUGUCUGGUUAAUUCCGAUAACGAACGAGACUCUAGCCUAUUAAAUAGAUCGUUGGCUUACAAACGCCGGCGAGACUUCUUAGAGGGACAGGCGGCGAUUCAGCCGCACGAAACAGAGCAAUAACAGGUCUGUGAUGCCCUUAGAUGUCCGGGGCCGCACGCGCGCUACACUGAAGUGAUCAGCGUGCAUUUUGAAACCUACUCUGUCAAGAGUGGGGAACCCAAUGAACCUUCUUCGUGAUUGGGAUAGGGGAUUGUAAUUAUUCCCCUUGAACGAGGAAUUCCCAGUAAGCGCAAAUCAUAAGUUUGCGCUGAUUACGUCCCUGCCCUUUGUACACACCGCCCGUCGCUACUACCGAUUGAAUGUUU